This 253-nucleotide ribosomal RNA is filed under the name uncultured bacterium. RNAcentral describes it as "partial 16S ribosomal RNA". It matches the Rfam family "Bacterial small subunit ribosomal RNA", at positions 524 to 776 of the family's 1533-position model. The record is from RNAcentral.
UACGGAGGGUGCAAGCGUUGCUCGGAAUUAUUGGGCGUAAAGGGUAGGUAGGUGGUCUCAUUUGUCUGGGGUGAAAGCCUUGAGCUUAACUCGAGAAGUGCCCCAGAAACGGUGAGACUAGAGUCCUGGAGAGGGUCGUGGAAUUCCCGGUGUAGCGGUGAAAUGCGUAGAGAUCGGGAGGAACACCAGAAGCGAAGGCGGCGACCUGGACAGGCACUGACACUCAACUACGAAAGCGUGGGGAGCAAACAGG